This 914-nucleotide ribosomal RNA is filed under the name uncultured marine crenarchaeote. RNAcentral describes it as "bacterial SSU rRNA". It matches the Rfam family "Archaeal small subunit ribosomal RNA", at positions 1 to 923 of the family's 1478-position model. The record is from RNAcentral. Lineage: Archaea; Thermoproteati; Thermoproteota.
UUCUGGUUGAUCCUGCCGGACCUGACUGCUAUCGGAUUGAUACUAAGCCAUGCGAGUCUUUGUAGUAAUACAAGGCAUACGGCUCAGUAACGCGUAGUCAACCUACCCUAUGGACAAGAAUAAUCUCGGGAAACUGAGCAUAAUUCUUGAUAGAUCAUAAUGCCUGGAAUGGUAUAUGGUUAAAAUGAUUCGUCGCCAUAGGAUGGGACUGCGGCCUAUCAGCUUGUUGGUGAGGUAAUGGCCCACCAAGGCGAUAACAGGUACGGGCUCUGAGAGGAGAAGCCCGGAGAUGGGUACUGAGACAAGGACCCAGGCCCUAUGGGGCGCAGCAGGCGAGAAAACUUUGCAAUGUGCGAAAGCACGACAAGGUUUGUCCGAGUGAUUUCUGCUAAAGAGAUCUUUUGCUAGUUAUAAAACCACUAGUGAAUAAGGGGUGGGCAAGUUCUGGUGUCAGCCGCCGCGGUAAAACCAGCACCUCAAGUGGUCAGGAUGAUUAUUGGGCCUAAAGCAUCCGUAGCCGGCUCUGUAAGUUUUCGGUUAAAUCUAUGCGCUCAACGUAUGGGCUGCCGAAAAUACUGUAGAGAUAGGGAGUGGGAGAGGUAGACGGUACUCGGUAGGAAGGGGUAAAAUCCUUUGAUCUAUCGAUGACCACCUGUGGCGAAGGCGGUCUACCAGAACACGUUCGACGGUGAGGGAUGAAAGCUGGGGGAGCAAACCGGAUUAGAUACCCGGGUAGUCCCAGCUGUAAACGAUGCAGACUCGAUGAUGCAUUGGCAUAUAGCCAGUGCAGUGUCGCAGGGAAGCCGUUAAGUCUGCCGCCUGGGAAGUACGUACGCAAGUACGAAACUUAAAGGAAUUGGCGGGGAGCACCACAAGGGGUGAAGCCUGCGGUUCAAUUGGACUCAACGCCGGGA